Cinara cedri is the source of this 275-nucleotide non-coding RNA. Lineage: Eukaryota; Metazoa; Arthropoda; Insecta; Hemiptera; Aphididae. The record is from the annotation of a GenBank genome assembly.
UACAUUCAGUAAACUAAUUGGUCUGUAAUUAGUAAAAUUCGUUCUAAGCCAAUUUCCUUAAUACAACGGCGUUACUAAUGCAGUUUUGGAUGAAUCCGGAAUAAGCUAUUCUAUUAUAAUUUGAUUAAAGAUUAUUUCUAGUAUACUAGACACAAAGUCUUAACAUUUUUUAAUAACAUUAAUUGAUGUGCCAACUAUACCUGACGCUGUGUCAUUUUUCAUAUUAGAAAUUAUUCUGCAUAUUUCUGAUUUAGUUGUUUUCCAUGAAAAUAGCG